RNAcentral lists this ribosomal RNA (466 nucleotides) under uncultured bacterium. RNAcentral describes it as "partial 16S ribosomal RNA". It matches the Rfam family "Bacterial small subunit ribosomal RNA", at positions 28 to 507 of the family's 1533-position model. The record is from RNAcentral.
GACGAACGCUGGCGGCGCGCCUAACACAUGCAAGUCGAACGAGCGAGAGAGAGCUUGCUUUCUCGAGCGAGUGGCGAACGGGUGAGUAACGCGUGAGGAACCUGCCUCAAAGAGGGGGACAACAGUUGGAAACGACUGCUAAUACCGCAUAAGCCCACGGCUCGGCAUCGAGCAGGGGGAAAAGGAGCAAUCCGCUUUGAGAUGGCCUCGCGUCCGAUUAGCUAGUUGGUGAGGUAACGGCCCACCAAGGCGACGAUCGGUAGCCGGACUGAGAGGUUGAACGGCCACAUUGGGACUGAGACACGGCCCAGACUCCUACGGGAGGCAGCAGUGGGGAAUAUUGCACAAUGGGGGAAACCCUGAUGCAGCGACGCCGCGUGGAGGAAGAAGGUCUUCGGGUUGUAAACUCCUGUUGUUGGGGAAGAUAAUGACGGUACCCAACAAGGAAGUGACGGCUAACUACGUG